GCCUCGGUGGCUCAGUCGGUUAAGCGUCUGACUUCAGCUCAGGUCAUGAUCUCAUGGUUCGUGGGUUUGAGCCCCGCAUCAGGCU
Molecule: transfer RNA, 85 nt
Filed under: Felis catus (domestic cat)
Lineage: Eukaryota; Metazoa; Chordata; Mammalia; Carnivora; Felidae
Rfam family: tRNA
About the family: Transfer RNA (tRNA) molecules are approximately 80 nucleotides in length. Their secondary structure includes four short double-helical elements and three loops (D, anti-codon, and T loops). Further hydrogen bonds mediate the characteristic L-shaped molecular structure. tRNAs have two regions of fundamental functional importance: the anti-codon, which is responsible for specific mRNA codon recognition, and the 3' end, to which the tRNAs corresponding amino acid is attached (by aminoacyl-tRNA synthetases). tRNAs cope with the degeneracy of the genetic code in two manners: having more than one tRNA (with a specific anti-codon) for a particular amino acid; and 'wobble' base-pairing, i.e. permitting non-standard base-pairing at the 3rd anti-codon position.
Source: Rfam by way of RNAcentral